Molecule: ribosomal RNA, 205 nt
Filed under: uncultured bacterium
Lineage: Bacteria
Description: partial 16S ribosomal RNA
Rfam family: Bacterial small subunit ribosomal RNA
Source: RNAcentral
AACGUAGGAGACAAACGUUAUCCGGAGUUACUGGGCGUAAAGGGCGUGUAGGUGGUUUCGUAAGUCUGGCGUGAAAUUUUUCGGCUUAACCGGGAAAGGUCGUCGGAUACUGCGGAACUAGAGGACGGUAGAGGCGUGUGGAAUUCCGGGUGUAGUGGUGAAAAUGCGUAGAGAUCCGGAAGAACACCGGUGGCGAAGGCGGCCU